UAGGGAAUUUUCGUCAAUGGGCGCAAGCCUGAACGAGCGAUGCCGCGUGAGUGAAGAAGGCCUUGGUCGUAAGCUCUGUUGCGGGGGAAAAAAGGACAGCAUCAGGAAAUGGGUGCUGACUGAUGGUGCCCCGCCAGAAAGUCACGGCUAACUACGUGCC
This 160-nucleotide ribosomal RNA is filed under the name uncultured bacterium. Its description in RNAcentral is "partial 16S ribosomal RNA". It matches the Rfam family "Bacterial small subunit ribosomal RNA", at positions 355 to 509 of the family's 1533-position model. The record is from RNAcentral.